RNAcentral lists this ribosomal RNA (496 nucleotides) under uncultured bacterium. RNAcentral's name for it is "partial 16S ribosomal RNA". It matches the Rfam family "Bacterial small subunit ribosomal RNA", at positions 28 to 506 of the family's 1533-position model. The record is from RNAcentral.
GAUGAACGCUGGCGGCGUGCCUAAUACAUGCAAGUCGAGCGAACAGACGAGGAGCUUGCUCCUCUGACGUUAGCGGCGGACGGGUGAGUAACACGUGGAUAACCUACCUAUAAGACUGGGAUAACUUCGGGAAACCGGAGCUAAUACCGGAUAACAUGUUGAACCGCAUGGUUCAACAGUGAAAGACGGUCUUGCUGUCACUUAUAGAUGGAUCCGCGCCGCAUUAGCUAGUUGGUAAGGUAACGGCUUACCAAGGCAACGAUGCGUAGCCGACCUGAGAGGGUGAUCGGCCACACUGGAACUGAGACACGGUCCAGACUCCUACGGGAGGCAGCAGUAGGGAAUCUUCCGCAAUGGGCGAAAGCCUGACGGAGCAACGCCGCGUGAGUGAAGAAGGUCUUCGGAUCGUAAAACUCUGUUAUUAGGGAAGAACAAAUGUGUAAGUAACUAUGCACGUCUUGACGGGACCUAAUCAGAAAGCCACGGCCAACUACGU